AAUAACGUUAUAGUUUUCAAAGUUAAGAAACACAUUGAAACGUUUUUACAAAAUUUAUUGCCAUAUUUCUUUUUACCAAUUUCACCUUACAAUCAAUAAUAAUACAUUGACCUAUAUUAAAAAUACUGGUUUUUAUACGACCGCAAAAAAUUUUUGCGGUCGUAUAUUGGUAUGACGUUGUCGUCGUCGUCGUCGUCGUCGUUCGAAGACACAUUGGUUUUCGCACUUUAACUUUAGUUUGAAAGAAUGGAUCUCUUUGAAAUUUUACCAUAAGGUUCAAUACCACAAAAGGAAGGUGGGGAUUGAUUUUGGGGGUUAUGGUACCAACAGUUAAGGAAUUAGGGGCCAAAAAGGGGCCAACAGUAAGCAUUUUCUUGUUUCCAGACAAUAACUGUGGAACGGUGUAUGGAUCUCUCUGAAAUUAUACUACAAGUUUCCAUACCACAAAGGGAUGGUUAGGAUUUGCUUUGGGGGGUUAUGGCUCAAACCGUUUAUGAAUAAAGGGGCAAAAAAGGGGGAAAACAAGGUUGUCCUGGUUAAUGGACAAAUACUUUAGUACAAAACAUAAUUUAAAGCAGUGUAAGGGAGAUAAAUCAAAUACAUCAUUGAAAUUAUCUCCCUUACACUGCUUUUUAAUUAUGUAUAAAGUAAUGGUUGAUGAACAAUUAAGAUAAUUUAAAACAGUGUAAGGGAGGUAAUCCAAAUACAACGUUUUGGUUACUUCCCUUACACUGCUUUUAAAUUAUGUUUAAAGAAAUGCAUAUUUAUAAAGGAAGACCAGUAAAAAUAUCUGCAAAUGUUGCAUCUUUUUUUUUUACAAAAAAAUCCAUAUGAAAGAUUUGACACUAUAUUUUUAAAUUCUAUUAUGAAAUAGAUUAAGUUAGCACUAUGGUUAAUUUAAAUGGGUAAUUAUGGUUUCAAACUCCAUUGGAAAUUUGAAUUGAGAUUAUGACCAUAUCUUGAGGGAAAGAAUUUUUUGGGGGAAAAAAAGGGGGGUAAAAAGAAAUUGUGGGGGGUCAAUUUUUUCUCAUUUCAGAUUUCAGAAAUUAAAAAGAAUUAUUCUUCAAAUGUUAUUUUUUUUUUCAAAUUUCAAAUAUUGAAAAAUUUCAAGAAGUAAUCUUUAAUUGCACAGUAUGGCGCAUUAGAUUUGUAAAAUCUUUGACCACAUUUAUUUAUUUGUUAUGCCGAAUCUGACCGUGUAUUUAGAUUUUUAAUUUUGGGUCCAGUUUUCAAAUUGGUCUACAUUAAGGUCCAAAGGGUCCAAAAUUAAACUUUGUUUGAUUUUAACAAAAAUUGAAUAUAUGGGGUUCUUUGAUAUGCCGAAUUCAAACAUGUAUUUAGAUUUUUGAUUUUGGGCCCAGUUUUCAAGUUGGUCCAAAUUGGGGUCCAAAAUUAAACUUUGUUUGAUUUCAACAAAAAUUGAAUAUAUGGGGUUCCUUGGUAUGCUGAAUCUAACCAUGUAUUUAGAUUUUUUAUUUGUGGACCCCGCUAUCAAAUUGGUUCAUAUUGAGGUCAAAAGGGUCCAAAAUUAAACUUUGUUUGAUUUCAUCAAAAAUUGAAUUAUUGGGGUUCUUUGAUAUGCCAAAUCUAACCGUGUAUUUAGAUUUUUAAUUUUGGGUCCUGUUUUUUAAAUUGGUCUACAUUAAGGUCCAAAGGGUCCAAAAUUAAACUUAGUUUGAUUUUAACAAAAAUUGAAUUCUUGGGUUCUUUGAUAUGCUGAAUCUAAACAUGUGUUUAGAUUUUUGAUUAUGGGCCCAUUUGUCUAAGUUGGGGUCCAAAAUUAAACUUUGUUUGAUUUCAACAAAAAUUGAAUAUAUGGGGUUCUUUGAUAUGCUGAAUCUAACCAUGUAUUUUGAUUUUGGACAUUGGACCAUAAUAGGUAAAUUAAAAAAAAUUAAGUUCUUAGACCACAUUCAUUCUGUGUCAGAAACCUAUGCUGUGUCAAAUAUUUAAUCACAAUCCAAAUUCAGAGCUGUAUCAAGCUUGAAUGUUGUGUCCAUACUUGCCCCAACUGUUCAGGGUUCGACCUCUGCUUUAUACAAUGGAAUGUUUAAUUUUGACUUCCACUGAUAAAACACAGAUCAAGUUGAAUUUGGGUAGUGUCACUUUAACCAUUUUUGAGUUAUGCCCCUUUAUAAAUCGAAAGAUUGCAAAAUUUUUAGUUUCCAUUCUGUAACUUAAGUUUGCCCUAACCAAACAGUAUGAAACCUAUAAACAAUAUUCAUUACCACAAAACUAUUGUAAGAUCAAGUACAAAUUUUUUGUUUCCGUUUUCUAACUUUAGUUUGCCUCAACCAAAUGUUAUGAAACUUAUACACAAUGAUUAUUGCUACAUAAUACAGAUUAAGUACGAAAUUUGGUGAGAACACUUUUACCAUUCUUGAGUUAUGUCCCUUUAUAAACAUAAAAAUUGCUGAAUUUUUCGUUUCCGUUCUCUAACUUCAGUUUGUCUCAACCAAAUGUUAUAAAACUUAUACACAACCGUUCUAGAGUUAUGCGUGUUUACAAAUAGAAAAAUUGCUGAAUUUUUAGUUUCUGUUCUCUACUUGAGUUAGCCUCAACCAAAUGUUAUGAGACUUACACACAAUGCUUAUUACCACAAAACUCAGAUCAAGUUCAAAUUUGGGUAGCGUCCCUUUUUCCAUUCUUGAGUUAUGUCCUUUUAUAACUAUAUGCUAUGCAAGCGGGGGCAUCAUCUGUGUCCACAUGUGGACACUAUCCACAUUUAUUUUGCCAUGAUUUUAUCCGUCGUCUCCUUUCGAUGUUUUGAGUUUUGAUUCUCCCUUUGGUAUCGUCCGACUCUUUCUUCUUUGAAAAUCAAAACAAUAGAUCAGAUAAUGAGAUUUAUAUUACAUAUUAAAUUUUCUAAGACGAUGUUUUAUUCAUUUUUAUCAAAACGUUGGGACGAAAUGUGGCCGUUAAAGACUACCCUCCUUAGGUAGAAAAUGUUGUCUGUAGUUCAGUUUAUUCGUCUUUCUACGGCACAGUGGCGAACCUUAGUAAAAUUAAAAGAAAAAAAGAACAAUAAAGAGCCAAUUUCCAUUCCAUUACAGACAAAAAAUUAUUUAUAUUUCAAGCAGUAUAAAAGAAAACGAAA
This is a long non-coding RNA of Mytilus californianus (California mussel), 3097 nucleotides long. RefSeq lists it as uncharacterized. The transcript has 3 exons. Lineage: Eukaryota; Metazoa; Mollusca; Bivalvia; Mytilida; Mytilidae. The record is from RefSeq and is a predicted model, not a curated record.